UUGAUACCUUUCUUGAUUAAUGACAGGUCUCUGAUAGUUGUCGAUAAUUGGAAUUUCUUGGUCGACGACCUAGAAAUGCUUCCAGAUGCAUUAAAUGGCAGUAGAAUUAUUUUGACCACUUGCGAAACAAAGCUACCUCCAAAUCUCAAAAUGAAGAGUGAUCCUCACCCACUGCGGUUACGGACAGAUGAGGAGAGUUGGGCAUUGUUUACCCAUGCUUUGAAAUUUAGCAUACCCCCAGAAUUGCUAAAGCUGAAAGACGAAAUUGCAAAAAGAUGUGGGGGACUGCCACUGCUGAUUGUAAAAUUGGCGGAAGCACUCUCACAUAAGGAUGCAACCAUUGAGGAGUGGUCCACUGCACUUCAACAAUUUCAUCAUGACCAACAGCAACUUUGGCCCAAUACCCUCUACAAGAUCCAUAAGGAUUUGUCCUUGUACAUGAGGAGAUGUCUAUUUUAUUUCACUUUAUUUCCUCAAGAUUUUGAUAUUCCGGCAAGAAGAUUGAUAACAUUAUGGGUUGCAGAGGACUUGGUACAGCCAGAGGGCGAGAAUGAAACUCCAGAAGAUGUUGCAGAAAGGUGUUUGAAUUUGUUGAUAGCCCAGGGAAUGGUUCAAGUGACAAAGAAGAAGCUUAAUGGGAAUGUUAAAAUGGUGCGAUUGCCAGAAGCCCUAAGACAAUAUUGGUCAUCCAAAGCUCAACAAGCCACAUUUCUUGGAGUUCAUACUAACACAAGAUCUGAGUUGUCCCUAGGCACCAAAAAGAUCCGUCGUCUGGUUGAUCAUCUUGACAAAGAAGAUAUCAGCUUUGACCAUAUUCAUGGUAAUCACAACACAACUUCUAGUACUUCUUUGACACCUUAUUACGAAGAUGUACUUUCUUUUCUGUCCUUUGAUACUCGAAAAGAAAGCAAACCAGGGGAAGAAGUGGGAAACUUUCUUCGUCAAAGCAUAUCCAGUGGUUGCUUCCUAGUACUGCUCGUGCUUGAUCUCGAAAAUGUAUUCAGACCAAAGUUACCUGAGGCAAUGGGCAAACUUACUCGACUAAGGUACCUUGGCUUAAGAUCUACAUUCCUCGAGAUACUUCCAUCAUCUAUAAGCAAGUUGCAGAAUGUUCAAACACUGGACAUGAAGCAUACUUGCAUCAACACUCUUCCUAAUUCAAUCUGGAAUCUACAACAAUUGCGACACUUACACUUGAGUGAGAGUUGUCGAAGUAAACUUAUCCUUCAACAUGAUACAAAUUUUCCUACAAUCCUCCAAACAUUGUGUGGGCUUCUUGUAGAUGAGGAGACUCCCGUAAGAGAUGGCCUAGACAGGUUACUCGAUAUUAGGAAAUUGGGAUUGACAAUAUCAUCUAAACAAGAGGCAAUAACAUUGCAACUGCAGGCAGUAGUUGACUGGGUUCUAAAACUGAACCAACUCUGGUCUUUAAGGCUCAAAUCUAUUGAUGAAAGCAAUCAGCCAUGGGAUCUAGAGUUGAAGCCUUUAGUAAGCCUUGUGAAUCUUUCUUACAUUUACUUGCUCGGACGGUUAAGGAAUCCAUCCAUUAUGUCCCAAUUCCCAUACAGCCUCAUCGACCUCACCUUAUCAGGGUCAGGACUUGUAGAAGAUCCAAUGCAGUCACUGGAUAAGCUUCCCAACCUUAGAAGUCUUAAAUUGCUUGCCAAAUCUUAUUUAGGGAAGAACAUGCUUUGCUCUUUAGGAGGCUUUCCUCAGCUUCGAGUUCUUAAACUAUGGAAGUUAGAGCAACUGGAGCAAUGGAAUGUAGAGAAAGGAGCACUACAAGCUCUCCGAGAUUUGGAGAUUAGGUUCUGCAGAAGUCUGAAAAUUCUACCUGCAGAAUUGCUGCAUAGAACUCUCUUGAAAAUUGAAGUUAUAGCUGCCCAGUAAGUUCACUACUUCAUCUCUUGAAAUUUGGUUUAUAACCUACUUUAACAUGAGAUGAUUGCUUUGUGUAACAAACAACCUGAUAUGCCAUUGUGUUUUCUUUCUUUCUUUCUUUCUUUCUUUUUGUUUGAUUAGGGUGUGAGAAGCUAAGCAAGAAGGUUCUGGUCUACUUCUUCGUGUUGGGCUUUGCUUUCCAUCUCAAUUUUUUUGCUGUUGGAGCAGAUAUUCAAAUCCUCAUGAGGGCAGUUCUCAGUUGCAACAAUUUACAGAGCUCAUUUUUUUGAAUUGGGUUUCCAUCCCUUCUGCUCAUUAUUCUGUUCUACCAUUGAUGCUAUGUUUUUGUCUUUCAAACCUUAAAUGCAUACUGUAUUGUACUUGUUAGUAGAUUCUAUAACUAGUGUUUGUGAACUGUAGAAUCAGGGCAUCAUGAACACAAUGGUGUUGUGGGUGUGAAUGUUAUAGAAUUUUGCUUUGUGAUUGUAUUUGGAUUGAAUGGAGUAUUUUUUUCUUUCAGUUGACGUUUAUCGGAUAGAAUUUAACCAGUCUGCUGGAAUGCACAUAGAGGGAAAAUAACUAUUCUCCUCUUGCCCAGAUGGAUGAAGGAAAGUAAGAUUAAUCCUCCACCUUUCUGUAGCUUAUUUUGUAAGUGUAUUAGAUUCAAAGUCUUCAAAUACGUUAUAUUAAUAUAUCAAAGAAAUACUUCCUGUUGCUCACAAGCUCAGAUCAGAGCCCACCAUGGCUUGCAUGGCCGCUUACAUGCCCUGCCCAUUCCAAUAGUUAGUCCAUUUAGUCCAAAUACAAUCUCAAAGCUUACACCCUUUCCUUUUUUUCAAUUUAGAAGAGCCUACCACUACAGAUUUGGACAUUGGAUCAUACAAUAUAAUUAUGGGGCAAUAGUUACAACACCCAUUUGAAAUGGGAUUCAUCCACCUCCAAACCAAAGCUGCUGGUUAUUGAAGGAGAAGAACAGAGAGUUUCUCUAACAACCUCCAUCCAAUGCUUCCUGACAUGAGAUAUCUAUCUCUGUCCUGCUUCCUUAACUUCAAUCUGUUCCAUCUGCUUCUUCUUCUUUUGGUAUGGUCAGUAUGGGGGUUCUGGAAAUGAACAGCAGAGCUUUCACCCAAGUGAGACAUUUGGUUUUGGAAUCAUACAUUUAGCUUGUGGUUUGGGUGUUUGAAACAGGGCAAUUAAAAUACAGUUUCCAGAAUGCCAGAAAAAUUUAAGGCCUAAAUUCAUGGACAAGUAUAGGUCAGAAACUAUUGAGCUUUAAGAUUUCACAGGGAAAGAGUAAUAUUACUGGCAACUGCAAUACGUCAUUCUGAUAUAGCUGCAGGAAGCAGCCUUUCCUGCACUACAGCCAUUCUGCAUGAGGCUUACUACUUUUUCAGCACUUUCAAGCACUUAAUUGGAGCUCUCCUUCAUUCUUUUUCCAAAAUAUGCCUUGGGAGUUUUUCCAGGAGAGGAAGUACAUAACAGCUAGAAACCAAGCUGUACAUCCUCAUCAAAAGCAAGACACUCCUGAAUUAUUUUUUGGGAAUCCCAAUUAUAUAAACACUGGUUCUCUAUUUAGGUUAUGUACAGACUUGUUAGCAGCCUUAGGUGGAGACUUUCAGGAUCUUAGUGUAUGUUUGGUCAUUUCCAAGGCAAACAUAUGCUAAAAUUUCAAAUUGUCAAAAGACAAUAACUUUUGUAAAUGUCUCUUCCAAUCCAAAACAGAUACUGAAACACUGCAAAGUUCUUCCAUUCAAAUCAUUUCUCUAUCAUUUAAUUAUUCUCCUCUCGAAUUGUUAAUUGGAAAUGUACAUGAACCUGAAUUUGUCUUAUCUUUCUGUCCUCCUUCAUUUUGGGAUUAAUUGCAAAACAACUGUAUUUCACAUGUUCUGGUCCUGUAUCCAGCACCAUUAUGACCAGUCUAUCUCUUCAGUGUCCAAAAUACAAGGGAAAUUUCUAAAACACAAAGAGGCAGAGAAAGGAUCUUAAUGUUGGUUCAUUCAGACCUCCCAAAAUUCUUCUUGCCCUCUCAUGUGCUGCUGAUUUGAGUAUGAAGUAAUUAUCAUAAGUCAUGUUCAUUAAUUUCAGUACGAAUCCAUAAAGCCUAUGAACCCCAGUACACAAUUUACUUCUGAUCCAUUGAAGCUGUUCUUCAACUUCAAACAAAGCUUCUGGUUCUCAAAGAAGCAGAAAAGACCCUCACUCUGUCACCCUCCAUAUAACACACUCUGCUUCCUACAUCAUCAUUCCGAACAUCUGUCUGUCUGUAUGGUCCUUAGGGAAGUGAACAAGAAAGUUUUCACAAAAUAGAGCCUUUGGUUUUAGUACCACAAAGUUUAGGUUGUGAAUGAAACAAGAGCAAUAGAAAUAGAGUUAAACAAAAUGUCAGCAAGAUUGACCUUGAUUACUUGAUUGUUGCCUGCAAGCACAUGGAUUAUACUCUGCCUUCUUAGCCAUGCAAGGGCUAAGCUGCUUGCAAUUUAAGACUGUUAAUAAAACUUGAAGGGAAUGAGAAUGUCCUAGUUGAUAAGGUGAUGUAGGACAAAAGACCAUUUUACUUUCCUUAUUAACAAUAUAUAUAUAUAUAUUGGAUUCUUUUGCCUAGGACAAAAGAGAACUGCAACACAAAAUACAAUAGACAUCCAAUUGUUGAUGAUCAAUUAUCAAAGGAGAGAAUUACAACCUUGUUUAGCAUUCGACAAGCUGAGCUCAAAUUUAUUUCUUUAAGCUUGGUUAGAGGUUGUGUCCUCAACUAUAGACUGUAUCUGAAGAAUAUGAUAUUGUGAGUUAAAAAAAAUUUAAUCCCAAAAAAAUAACAUAUAUUAUCUGCUUCCCACAGCUCCGAAGCUAUCAUGUCUGCUGAACAAUCAGAGUAUGAUUAAUUGCAAUACCAAGCAAAGGAAGACCUCUACUCUGAUAAUAAGGAAGACUAAAGCUUUUCAAGCCCUUUGUCUCCACCCUUUAGCAAGGGCCCAUUGGUGACAGUGAUACAAGAAACAACAAUAAUUGUAUCAUUUGCAUGAUGCUUUCCACUUUUUCAACGCUUUCAAGUGCUUAUUUAUAGAUCUAAUUAUAAGAUUUUAAGACUUGCAAAAACAAGCAAUCCCUUAUUCUGAAUAAAUCUUGGGAGGAGGCUUUCAGAGUGAUUGAGGUUGACCUUGCAUUCAUGUAAAAAUUUUCAAAACCCAAUUUAAUCCACCCAUCUAUUUGGUGAAAAGAAAAACUCUCAUUUCAAUGCCUAUUUGGAGUAUUUGUCAUUUGAAGGAGAGUACCGGCUGUGAAACAUAAAAUGUGUGAUAUGCUUAACAUGACAUAUAGAAAGUGUUUGGCAAGAAAAUGUGAAUUAUAUGACAUACCUUGCCACCAUGUACUUAACAUUGAAGGUUACAUUAAAUUUGAAACGAAUCAUUUAAACCAUAACAUUAACAAAUACAACCACAAUAUUUCUGAAUAUGGAGGUGACAAACUAUCCAUUCUGAGACGUUAAAGGAUGCCAAAAAUUAAUAACAAGUCGUGAUGGCUGUGAGACAUUGGAGUAAUUUGCAGUCAUUGACAUUAUUGUAUCAUCCAUUUUAAGAAUAAUGUAGUUGAAAGUUAUCAAAUAUUCAAGCAAUCACACAAAAUAAGCUUUGGCUAGAGAAAGUCUCAGACAAUACUAAAAUUCAAAAAUAAGUUAUUGCAACCAAAUGUUACAACAAGAAAACACUAUUCAGCGUCUGUCUCCUCUGUCAUCAUAAUAAAUAUUAUGCUCUAUUACGUCUUUGUUAAAUUAAGUUCAAAAGUUACAUCCAGAGAAAUGAUGGUGUAAUUCAUCUUAUCUAGAUAUGUUUUAACAAUACCUUCCAUUUACAUCAUUACCAAAGUUAAGACAAAUCAUAUUUUCUUGCAUUAGCUUUUGGGAAUCCACAAUAAUAAACACAAGUUCUCUCUUUAGACUAUGUCUAGGCUCGUUGGUGGCCUUCUGUGGGGCCUUUCUAGAUCUUCGUAUAUAUUUGGUCCAUCUCCGAGACAAGCUUAGGCUGACAUUUAAAAUUGUCAAAAGUCAAAACAACUUUCCUAAAGGUCUCUCUUCCAAUUCCCUUUUAGGUUGUUUCCUUCUAUUAAUGAAUAUCCCAAUGGCAUCCAAAGCAGAUACAUAAACACUAAAAAGCUCACCCAUUUAAAUCAUUCUUUUAUCAUCUAAUUCUUCUAACUUUUCACUCUUAAUCAAUCCUUUAAACAACUUAAUUUUUUUCCCAUAAUAGGACUAUUUUGGCCCAAAACUGUAUUUUAGCCCCCUGUAACUUUCUGAAAGAAGGAAAAACAAAUCAAAGAAAAAUAAACAAAAAUCGACAAGCCCUCUAUAAAAGACCUAACAAUAACAAAGGGAAGGAUCUUCAUAAACAAAACUAAGAAAGAAUUGCAAGAAGUUGAUUACUUGAGCAACUUCACCAACCAAAGUUGUUGAUUCCCCAAGGAGCAGAAUAGAAAGUUUACCUAUCACCCUAUGAUAACCCGACUCUUGGUAGCUUGGCAUGUAAGGGUAUCAACAAAAUUUAUACCUAAGGUCCUUACACUAAAGUAGCAAAGCUACUAUAGCAUAGUGGCUCUAGGAUCGAACACUGGGAAGGGUUUUUACUUUAACUGGUGAAGUUCGGAGGAUGGAGUGAACUUUUCUUAAUAAAAAUAAGGUUAAGAUGAAAACAUAAAAAGAUAAAGGUGUUGUAAACUAAACUAACUUGAAAAUAGGUUAAAUGAUGGAAAAAGAAGUUUCUCAAAGCUUUGGAUAGCCAUGCUUAACUCACUGUGUAAAAAUGGAGAUUUUGGAACUUUUCACCUCGAGUUGGGGAAGCAACUAAGGUGAUGCUUACUUCCCGAACCGGUAUGUGUUUAACAACUGAGUUUUAGUCCUUCAAAACUUACAAAAAGGGUAGCUGAACCUCAUAAAUGCUCUUUUAAUGAUAUAGGUCNNNNNNNNNNNNNNNNNNNNNNNNNNNNNNNNNNNNNNNNNNNNNNNNNNNNNNNNNNNNNNNNNNNNNNNNNNNNNNNNNNNNNNNNNNNNNNNNNNNNUUAAGUAACUUAAUUUUUUUCCCAUAAUAGGGCUAUUUUGGCCCUAAACUGCAUUUUAGCCCCCUGUAACUUUAUGAAAGAAGCAAAAGCAAAUGAAAGAAAAAUAAACAAAAACUGACAAGCCCUCUAUAAAAGACCUAACAAAGGGAGGAUCUUCAUAAAAAUCACAUAAACAAAACUAAGAAAAAAUUGCAAGAAGUUGAUUACUUGAGCAACUUCACCAACCAAAGCUGUUGAAUAUUCCCCAAGGAGCAGAAUAGAAAGUUUCCCUAUCACCCUAUGUACAAUGCUCUCCAUAACAAGUCUUUUAUACCAGUUCUGCUUCACCAUUAUAAAACUGUCAUAAUCCGUUUUCUUCUUCUUCGGGUAUACUCAGUGGGGAUUCUGGAAAUGAACACCAAAGCUUUCUCACUUGUGAAGCAUUUUGGUUUUGGAACAACAAAUUUAGCUUUUGGCACUGGUGAAUGAAACAAGGCAUUUAAACUAUAUAUACAGUUUACAGAAUGCUAGCAUAUAUUAAGGCCUAAAUGACAAAAUAUAGCCCUCGAUUACUCAGAUGAGGUUAAAUUUUGUGUGUCAAUUUCUUUUCUAAUCUCACAUUUCAAGAAACUUAACAGAGAAUUAAAUAGGCUAGAAAAUGGAUGCUUGCUCUGGGCCAAGACAAGUUCUCAGAUUGUGCAUGGCUGCUUUGUGACAAAACUCAGGAGCCUUCACUACUUGCCACCCCAAUGGAUUAUUCCUUUAAUUUACAGUUUGCUGCUUGACUGCAGGGUAAGGUGAGGGGUCGUCCCUUAUAUGUUGUUGGUCCUUGGUUCUUCUAUUGCAGAAACAAAUAUCUAUAUAUAUAGAGAGAAACAAAUAUAUAUAUAUAUUGAGAGAGAGAGAGAGAGAGAGGAAGAGCAAAAUCAUUUUUCCUAGAGAGUUUCACAAAAUCUUGGGAUACCAUAGAAGAAACAAAGGCAAAAACUAUGUUAAUUUUGGUGAUCAAAUGGUUGGUAGCUGAUGAUACGAUUGAGAAAACCAUGGCAUAUGUUAUCAUCAAACAUUAUGGAAAAGGAGAAGGAACAAUUUGGGAGUGUAAAUAUUAAUCCACACACUUGAGAAUUACAUAUUUUAAAUUUUUCUUUGAAAUUUAGCUUUAAAAUAUGUUAUUCUCAGGUGCAAAGUGUAAAACUAGUAUUUAUAAGCUAGAUUUUCUUUUGCCGAAACUAAAUUAUGAUAUGUUUAUUUCAUUUUGUGAUUCUCCUAUGGACUUUCUUAUUAUUUUAGGGUAGAAAAAUAUUUUUCUUUUCUUACAAUAGGAGGUCAAGUUCAUAUAUUUAGUAACUAUGUACAUGAUUUAAUAUAGUGAAUAAAAAUAAAUUCUUUCUUUCAAGAUAGUGUUUGUUUGUUUUUUUACUUAAGUGUAAAUAGAACUUAAGAUUAAACUGUACUUAAUACUUAACAAUAUUAAAUUAUUUGUUAUUUUUUAAUAUAUUCUAUAAAUAUUAAGAAGUAAAAAAAAAAAAAAAACAAGACCAAUACUCACUUUAGUUAUGGUAAUUCACUUUUAGCAUUCAAAAAAACCAAAUAUUUAUUUUUUUCAUUUAAUAAAGAAAUUUAAGAAAUAAGUAAUAAAUCAUUAAAAAAAAAUUUAAAAAUAUAUCAUUUGAAAUCUACAAAUGAGUUACUUUCAACAAAAAAUUUAAAAAACAAACAUCUCCUUAGUUUAUGGAAAGGUUAUGAAUUUGAAUAUUAUUGCACUUUAAUACUCUUGUAUAUUUAUUUAGAAGGUGUAUUGAGUGUUACAUAUUACCAAGCUUUAAAUUUAAGCUUAAUAUAUUUUUUAUAUAUAAUUAAACCAUUGCGUGAUGGUUUAAUUUUUUUUUAAUAAAUUGCAAGAGUACAAGAAAUUAGUGACUUAAACAUAAUUUGUUCUCUUGAAAUGUUGAAGUAGAGAGAGAAUUAUUGAGAAACAGUGGUUUGACUUUUUCAUUGAGUAAGAAUGAAUAUAUAUAUACACAAACCUAAAACACAAAAAUAGAAAACAAUCUACCCAAAAUACAAAAAUAUGAAACAAUCCUAGAAUUAGAAUUAGAGAAUUACAAAAAAAAUAGGAAGUUACAACUAAUUACAAGAAUUUGAAAACAUAAAGAAAUUCUAUUGUAAUGAAUUCUCUAAUAUGCCCCCUCAAGAUGGAGCUCCGGAGGAGACGCUAAUCUUGACCUAUAAUUCUUGGAAGUGGCUUCAUGCAAGCGGUUUAGUAAGAGCGUCGACAAGUUGAUUUGCUGAGGAAAUUGGAUGACGACUAAGAUAGACAAUAUAAACACUUUGUAUUGAAGAGUAACCAAGAAAAACACAAGGAGUGGAACAAGAGUCAAGUUUAUGUUAAGAAUAAGGACGAAACCAUGGAUAACAUAAGCAACCAAACACCUCAAGUUUAGUGUAGUUGGGUGGAGACUCAAAGAGUUUGUCAAAAUGAGAUAAGAAAUGUAGUAUGGGUGUGGGCAUACGGUUGAUGAGAUAUGCAGCAGUGGCAAAGGUGUAAGUUCAAUAAGUUAGAAAGCCCUUGGUACACCGCUGUAAUUGUUCCUUCAAUUGUUUAAUAUGACCACGAGAUGGUUUGGCAUAAGUAUUGGCUAAGGUUUGUCAUGCAUCAAGGGAAGUGGUGGUGCGAGCAAUAAGUGGUUGUAGUGAAACGGAGAUAGCACCAAGGAGAGUGCUAAAGAUGAGAUGAUCCUGACGCUUCCAGGUUGUGUAUGUCGGAUUUGGGGAUGCAACACCAGUGACGGUGAUGGUGACGAUGGGUGGUGGUGGAGUAUGAGCACCAUCAAUGAAGUUAUGAAGAUCAUAACCUUCAAGAAGAGAUUGGAUUUGAAGGCUCCAUGUGAGAUAAUUGGUGGAUGACAAUUUGGUGAUAUUGGAGUGAUUGAUUGUAAGGAGGGGAUGUUGACGAUCUUGGGAGUUUUGGAUGGUGAUAGGAUCGUUGGUGGAAGAGAAGGAUGCACUGGAAGCCAUUGAGGAGAAGGGAAAAAAAAGUAAGAAAAUACACCCAAGAAGAUUAGGCUCAGAUACCAUGUUGAAGUAGAGAGAGAAUUAUUGAGAAACAAUGGUUUGACUUUUUCAUUGAGUAAGAAUGAAUAUAAAUACACAAACCUAAAACACAAAAAUAGAAAACAAUCUACCCAAAACACAAAAAUAUGAAACAAUCCUAGAAUUAGAAUUAGGGAAUUACAAAAAAUAGGAAGUUACAACUAAUUACAAGAAUUUGAAAAUAGAAAUAAAUUCUAUUGUAAUGAAUUCUCUACUAUGAGAUGUUAUAAUGGUGUUGCAAUCUAAUUUGCGCAUAAUCAUUCCCUAGUUUCUAACUAUAAAAUUUUCUUCGAUUGUGCAAGAGGAUGAGGAACGUAAUUUGUGUGAGGUGAGGUUAAGCAAAAUUUCCCAUUAGUUUAUUGGACAUUCCAAGAUGAUUUUCAUCACUUUCCUCUUGUUUAUGAUCAACAUGGCCCUGCACAAUCAAAAAGUAAAUAGUCAUUGGAUAAAAUAUAUAAAAAAAAUGACUAAUAAAAAGCUAAGUGUUUGUGUGGAUAUACUUCCUAUUUUAUAUUUUUAAAAACAAAAAAUAAUAUUAUUAUUUUCAAAGUGUUCUUGUGAAUAAUGUUUCUAAGAAAAGUUUAAUGCACUAAUAUAUAAUUGAUGUAAAAAAAAAAAUUGAAUUACAAAUAUAUUGCAUAAAAAUCAGUUAAGAUAAAUAAGUAUAUGUCUUUUAUUUGGCUUGUUAAGUAAUUUGUGGACAUGACCCGAGUUAUGAAUCAUAUAAGUCAUUCCUUGAUCAAUGUGGAAUAUAUUACUCUUCUUGAUAUCCUUUCUAAUACUCUUUAUAUCAGCUCUCAUAUUUUUCAUAUCACUUUUCAUAUAUGAUCUCUCACAUUUUUUUGUAUUUAUUGUCACAUUUUAUUUAUACUCAUUCUUAUAUUCUUUAUACUCCCUCUCACAUUUCAUAUACCUAUUUUUAUAUUCUUUGUAUCUCUUCUUACUUUUUUCACACCUUUUAUUAUAAGAUUCAAUCGUCUCUCACAUUCUUCAUAUUUUGACUUAUAUUCUUUGUAAAUCAUCUCAUCACAGUCUUAAUUUUUAUUUUCAUAUUUUUUAUACAUUCUUUCACAUUCUUUAUACACUUACAAAAACUAUUAAUGGUUGCAUAUUCAAAUAUUAUUUGACAUCAAACUUUUACUUAUUGAAUUUAUAUUUAUAUGUAUAUAUAAAAAAAAAAAAUAGAGUUGAAACCACAUGGUUGCUUUCUUUCAAUAUCUUCAUAAAGAAACACAAAUCUCUUAUUUCUAUAUUUUCUUCAAGAGAUACAAAAUUUGAUCUUAAAAUUUAAUUGAUAAAUUUUAUACAUGUAUUGCAACAAGGUGUUUUGAAUUUUAUACUUUGUCCAAGAAACUCACUACCAUUGUGGAGACAUUUAAUUUGUUUGUUUAUGUUGACUCUUUGUGUUACAAGUCUUUCCGAAAUUUAAUGCAAAAUUUAAUGGAUAUUUUGCAUUUCUUCCCCCAUUGGUUUAGUUUCUAUAUGCUUUUGAAAAGCAAAAUCCACAUCUCUUGAUAAUUAUUAAGAUAUGUUUCUGUUCCUUUCCCCGCAGAAAAAAGCUGCAUGAAUACUUUACAAGGAAGGAAAGGGAGGAGGUGUGGAGGAUGAUGGCAGAGGGUAGAAAUGAAGAAGCUAAGGAGAUGCGGCAUAGAAACUCGCCGUUGAAGAUGAACGACACAAUAAAUUGGGCGGAGGUACACGACACACGAGAUUUGGCGAAGAUCGUCUUGUCGAGGGUCAUAGAGAAACUCUAUGUUGUGCGGAUUCAAGAACCGGCAGUUUUGGUUGGAGUUGAAGAAGAUGUCCAGUGGAUCCAAAGGAAGUUGAUGCGUGUUCGGGUUAAACCUGAAUAUUCCCCUGAGGAAUUAAUGGACGUUGCCUAUGAUUUGGAAGAUGUGAUUGAUGACCUUAUACUCAGGUCAGCCGGAAAGCAAAGCAGAAUAGGAAAUUGGGAGAGUUGCCUUUUGAUAAUCAGAAUUCAUAAGAAGCUGGAAUUGGUAAAGUCUAAGAUCCCUGCUCUACCUCGUCUCCCGAUCAUGAUAUCAAGAGGUGCCAACCAUGAUAACUACUUUGAAGAAAGGGUCUGGUCAGACAUCUUCUUGAUACACCAUCGGAGUGUGGCAAACACAAUUGUUUCCCCAGUGGAACAGAAGGUAUCAGCUCUGCUAGCUCAGGAGGUAAUUCAUCCCCAUACUAAGAAGAAAGUCAUGCGGGUGCUAGACAAAUUCAGGUCUCUGAAUGAUUUUCUGGCAGGCUUACAAUCAGUGGAAUUAGACGCUUGCGGAAUGGUUUGGAUGGAGGAGUUGUCCCAUGUUGCCCUGUCUGCUGUGACUGCCAUUGAGGACUUCAUCAAUAAAAAAGAAGAGUUCACAAAAAGAAGUUGGAUGAGACCUUCCAGGGGAUUUCUUUUUGCUUUUGGCAAAUUGAAAUCUGAGGAUAAGCUUGCUAUGGAGAUGGACAAAAUAUAUGCUAAGAUCCAGAACCUCUCUAUGCACAGACCAACAGAAUUCAGUAGACAAAGUCAAAGUAGCGACACAGAGUCCACCGUGCGAAUCUCACCACAGCCAACGAUGCAAGAACCUAAUCUCGCCAGCUUCACUGAUGAUGUACAUGCAAUGGUAAAACGGUUGCUUACAGAUGACAAGAGUUUCAGAGUGAUUCCAAUUAUGGGUAUGGAAGGCAUUGGAAAGACGACCCUUGCAAAGUUGAUCUUUAACAAUAAAGAUGUUCUAAACCAUUUUCCUUUUGGUGUUUGGACGUCUGAUGGCUAUGAAUUUCACCUACGUGACAAGGAGAAAUUGAUGGACUCCAACCUAAGUCAACUAGGAGAUGUGUGGAAUUAUCAUGUUGAGUUACAACGGCUGAAAGCUUUCUUAAUUGAUAAAAGGUCUCUUAUAGUUCUGGAUGAUACUCAUAUCCUAUUCUUAGACCAUGUGUUAAGAAUACUUGCAGAAUCAUCAAACGGAAGUAGAAUGAUUUUGACUACUCACAAAAUCAGUUUACCACCAAAUUUCCGAACGAUGAGUGAUCCUCACCUACUGCGAUUACGAGGAGAUGAGGAGAGUUGGGCAUUGUUUACCCAUGCUUUGAAAAAGAGCAUACCCCCGGAAUUGCUAAAGCUGAAAGACAAAUCGUAAGAAGUGUGGGGGGUCUGCCACUGCUGAUUGUAAAAUUGGCAGAGCACUCUCACACAAGAUGCAACAUUGNNNNNNNNNNNNNNNNNNNNNNNNNNNNNNNNNNNNNNNNNNNNNNNNNNNNNNNNNNNNNNNNNNNNNNNNNNNNNNNNNNNNNNNNNNNNNNNNNNNNCCCAGGGAAUGGUUCAAGUGACAAGAGAAGCUUAAUGGGAAUGUUAAAAUGGUGGCGAUUGCCGGAUGCCUCAGACAAUAUUGGUUAUCCAAAGCUCAACAAGCCACAUUUCUUGGAAUUCAUACUGACACAAGAUCUGAGUUGUCCCUAGGCACCAGCAGGAUCCGUCGUCUUGUUGAUCAUCUUGACAAAGAAGAUGUAAGCUUUGAUCAUAUUCAUAGUGAUUACAACACAACUACUUCUUUGGCACCUUACUAUGAAGAUGUGCUUUCUUUUAUAUCCUUUGAUACUCGAAAAGAAAGCCAACCAGGAGAAGACGUGGGAAACUUUCCUCGUCAAAGCAUAUCCAGUGGUUGCUUCCUAGUACUGCUCGUGCUUGAUCUUGAAAAUGUAUUCAGACCGAAGUUACCUGAGGCAAUUGGCAAACUCACUCGACUAAGGUACUUUGGCUUAAGAUCUACAUUUCUCGAGAUACUCCCAUCAUCUAUAAGCAAGUUGCAGAAUGUUCAAACACUGGACAUGAAGCAUACUAGCAUCAACACUCUGCCUGAUUCAAUCUGGAAGCUACAACAAUUGCGGCACUUAUUCUUGAGUGAGAGCUACCAAAGUAAACUUAUGCUUGGACAGGGUACCAAUUUUCCUACAAUCCUCCAGACAUUGUGUGGGCUAUUUGUAGAUGAGGAGACCCCGGUAAGGUAUGGCCUAGACAGGUUACUCAAUAUUAGGAAAUUGGGAUUAACAAUGUCAUCUAAACAAGAGGCAAUGUCAUUGCAACUGCAGGCAGUAGUUGACUGGGUUCUAAAACAGAAACAACUCCGGUCUUUAAGGCUCAAAUCUAUUGAUGAAAACAAUCAGCCUUGGGAUCUAGAAUUGAAGCCUUUAGUAAGCCUUGUGAAUCUUUCUUACAUUUACUUGCUCGGACGGUUAAGGAAUCCAUCUAUUAUUUCCCAAUUCCCAUACAGCCUAUCGACCUCACCUUAUCAGCUUCAGGACUUGUAGAAGAUCCAAUGCAGUCAUUGGGUAGGCUUCCCAACCUUAGAAGUCUUAAAUUGCUCGCCAAAUCUUAUUUAGGGAAGAACAUGCUUUGCUCUUUUGGAGGCUUUCCUCAGCUUCGAGUUCUUAAACUAUGGAAGUUAGAGCAACUGGAGGAAUGGAAUGUAGAGAAAGGAGCAUUACAAGCUCUCCGAGAUCUGGAGAUUAGGUUCUGCAGAAGUCUAAAAAUUCUUCCUGCAGAAUUGCUACAUAGAACUCUGUGGAAAAUUGAAGUUAUACCUGCCCAGUAAGUUCACUACUAGACUCUUGAAAAUUGGUUUAUGACCUGCUUAACAUGAGAUGAUUUCCUAAUGUAACCAACAACCUGAUACACCAUUGUGUUUUUCCUUUUUUGUUUUGUUUGAUUAGGACGUGAGAAGCUAUGCAAGAAGGUUCUGGUCUACUUCUUCGUGUUGGGCUUUGCUUUCCAUUUCAAUGUUUUUGCUAUUGGAGCAGAUAUUCAAAUACUCAUGAGGGCAGUUCUCAGUUGCAACAAUUUAUAGAGCUCAUUUCAAAAUGGGUUUCCAUCCCUUCUGCUCAUUAUUCUGUUCCACCUUGUCUUUCAAACCUUAAACGUAUACUGUAGUGUACUUGUUAGUAGAUUCUGUAACUUGUGUGUGUGAACUGUUGAAUCAGGGUAUCAUAAACACAAUGAUGUUGUGGAUGUGAAUGUUAUAGAAUUUGCUUUGUGAUUGUAUUUGGAUUGAAUAGAGUAAUUUCCUCUUUCAGUUGAAGAUGUUUAUUGGAUAGAAUUUAACUAGUCUGCUGAAAUGCAUAUACCGAGAAAAUAACAUGUAUCACUAUUCUUUUCUUGCCCAGAUGGGUGAAGGAGAGUGCGAUUAAUCCUCCAUCUUCGUUAGAAAUCAUAAUACUAAUAUGUUAAAGAGUUUAGAAUAUUCCUAUUUGUAGCUUAUUUUUGAAAGUGUAUUGUGUUCAAAGUCUUGAAAUAAGUUAUAUUUAUAUAUCAAAUUAAUGCAUCCUGCUGCUAACAAACUCAAAUCAGAACCUACCAUCACCUGCAUGGCUGCUUACAUGCUCUGCCCAAUCUACUGGCUUACACCUUUUUUUUUCCUUUUAAAUUAAGAAGAUUUGGGAGUUAGAUCAUGCCAUAUAACUAUGGAGCAAUUGUUAUAGCACCCAUUUGAAAAGGGAUUCAUCCACCUAAAGCUCUUCAACUCCAACCCAAGCUGCUGGUUAUUGAAGGAGAAGAACAGAGAGUUUCACCAACAACCUCCAUCCAGUGCUUACUGACAUGAGAUAUCUAUCUCUGUCUUGCUUCCUCAACUUCAACCUCUUACAUUCCAUCUGUUUCCUCUUCUUCUUUUGGGGCGGUCAGUGUGGAUUCUAGAAAUGAACAGCAGAGCUUUCACCCAAGUGAGACAUUUGGGUUUGGAACCAUAAAUUAGCUUGUGGUUUGGGUGUUUGAAGACAGGGCAAUUAAAAUACCGUUUCCAGAAUGCCAGCAAAAUUUAAGGCCUAAAUUCCUGGAUAAGCUUUGAGCUUGAAGAUUUCACUGGGGAACAGUGAUAUGACCGGUAACUGCAAUAGGUAAUUCUGAUAUAGCUGCAGGAAACAGCCUUUCUUGCACUGCAGCCAUUCCGCAUGAGGCUUACUUCUUUUCCAGCACUUUCAAGCACAAAUUGCAGCUGUCCUUCAUUCUUUUUUCAGAAUAUGCCUUGGGAGUUUCUUCAAGAGAGGAAGUACAUAACAGUUAGAAACCAAGCUGCGUAACAUUGUUAGUGAAAGGAAAUAGAACUAAUCAGGGAUCUUUUAUGCCUGCAGGAUUGCUAGAGACAGAGGAUCAUUGGGAGUGUGCGCAGAAAUGGGAGAUGAUGAGUCGUGUUUGUGGAGAAGCUAUCUUAUUCUGCAAGACAGGGUUGACCAGAUCAAGAUACCAAGUAGCUCAGAUAAGGUGAAGAGCUGCUCACUUAUGUUUGCCUUCGCUGAUUUUGAUAGAAAUGAAUGUCCAAUCUUUUCAUCUUAUCUUCUUUUCAUCUUUUAUUAGAUCUGACGCCCAUUUCCACCAUUUGUGUCUUACAGGUUUUUAUUCAUUAAUUCAAGGAUUAUUGCUAUAGCUUUUGGAAUUGUGUUUGAUAUCCUACUUGGAUUUUCACAUUACGCACAUGAACUAAUUGAUAAAAAUUUCUAUGCUUUCCUAAAUAUAUACGUUCACAGAGAAAAUGCUACCUACAGAUCAACUUACCAAUUCGUCUCUGUUGUUUAUAAUGAUAAAGAUGUUUGGUAUUUUAGGAGAUAAAUGGAGAUCUUCCCAAAAAGCUUGAGAAAAUCUGGGAACCCUGUGAUAUGAUUUUACUGAGCCUAAAGUUGUCAUCAUCUUGUUGAGCAAGGAGAGAAAAUGUAUAUGGACAAGAUAGGUCAGAGUCAUCAUUUAGCUCCCUUAUUGAUUGGGCUGCGACAAGUGUCUUGCCCUUGGUGACCCAGACAUCAUUUGAUUCUAUUCAUCCAAACAAAAUGAUCAUUUCAAGAUCUCCUGCAGCCUAUUCCAUUUGUUCAACACUUUCAACUGCAAUACCAGCCUAUCGAAAAAAUCUUUCAGAGGAGGCUUUUACAGUGGUUAAGGUUGAGCUUGCGUUGGUUUACAUUUUUGUGAACUCCUACACCUGUUUGUAAAGAAAUCUCACUCCAAUGCGUAUUUGGAGUAUACUCAUUUGGAGUGUUGUUAGCCAAGAAACUAUACUGAAAUGUAAAAUUUGUGGUAUGCUUAGCACGACAUAUAGAAUGUGUUUUCGAAAAAAAAUGAAUUGUGUGAUAUGCCUGCCACCAUUAAUUACUUAAUAUUGAAGGUUACUUUAAAUUUGAAAAAAUCAUUGAACUGUAAGAUUAACAAAUAUAACAGCAAUACUUCUGAACAUGAUGAAGCCGAGGAAGCAUGCAUUCUGGGAUAUUGGAGGAUGCCAAAAAUUAAUAUCACUGUGGAUUAGUUUGCAAUUGCCAAUAUUAGUGCAUUAUCCAUGUUGGAAGCGUUGAAGAAGGUUGUCAAAGUAUAGAGUCAUGUUACCAAUACCCUCCCUGUAUAUCCUCAUCAAAACCAAACAUAGAAUCAUGGUCUUGAAUUAGCUUUUGGGAAACCUGAUAAUGAAAACACUUAGCUAUCUAUUUAGGCUAUUUCUAGGUUUGAUGCUGACCUCUGUUGAUAUUUCCAAGAUCUUAGUGUUUAUUUAGUCCAUCACCAAGUGAAGCUUAUGCUGAAAUUUCAAGUUGUCAAAAACCAAAAUAACUUUUUAAAAUGUCUCCAAUUACUUUUUAAGUCGCUCACAUGAAAUAACCACAUAACAUCCAAAGCUGAUACUAAAAUACUGCCAAGUUCUUCCAUUCAAAUCAGUCCUUUAUCAUCUAAUUCUUCUCUUCUGACUCCUUAAUUGAAAAUGUUUAUGAACCUGAAUUUGUCUCAUAUAUGUCAGGCCUUCUUCAUUUUGGGAUAAAUUGAAUCAUGGACUAGCAAGUGUAUUGCCCGUGCUCUGAUAUUGUAUCCAGCUCCAGUAUGACCGAUCUAUGUCUUCAAUGUCCACAAUACAAGUGGCAACUUUUAAAAUGCAAAGAGAAAGAGCAAGGAUCUUAACCUUAUUUUUGCUUUAUUGAAUUCAAUUUGAUCCGAAAAAUCAUGAUUGAACAAAGCGGAUCUCCCAAACUUCUUCUGUCUCAUGUGCUGCUGAUUUGAGUAUAAGGUAAUCAUCAUAGGUCAGGUCCAUUAAUUUCAGUAUAAAUUCAUAAAGCCUAUGAACCUCAAUACGCAAUUUGCUUUCGAUCCAUUGAAGAGUCCAUGAAACUCUACCAGAGGCGUCACUACAAAACCAUUACCCAUUUCCCAUGCACCUUACCUUUGUCAUGCGAAAACAAAACCUUUCCUUUCCAGAGGCAUCUGUUUGUUUAUGUUGACUCCUUGUGUUACAAGUCUUUCAAAAAGAGUCUACCAGUAUUCCUCCUAGAAAAAGGAUAGAAGCAGUUCAUCGUCUUUGAUAGAGAAAAAGAAAAAGAAAAAGGAACUGGUGGUAUUAGGCAGUCAAUACGUGGUGGUUGCUGUAAGUUGGCUUUCAGAGAAAAAUAUAUAUAUACAUAGAGAGGAAAGGAGGUCAAGGAGGAUUGUUCUUAGAAAGAGAAAAUAAAGGUAAUAAUGAAGAAGAUGCAGCAUGCAAACUCUAAGUUGAAGAUGAAGGUCAUAAUGGAGAACUACAGUCUUGGAUGAAGAUAGUAUUUUCCAGGGUUAAAAAAAAUCAGUUUUCCUUUUAAUAAUUCCUACAACCAAAGGUGAUUGGCAAGUCAAUUUUUUUAAAACUACUAUUCAUAAAAAUAAAAACUAAGUUGAUGUUACAAAUACUUUUCCUAUUUUAAUUUUGUAAAAAAUUUGUAAAUUUAAUUUAUAAAAUAUUAAUUUAAUUUAAUUCAAAAUUAUAAAUUACAUUUAAAAUAAAUAUUUUUAGUAAAAUUUAAAUACAAAUAUUUUAAUAAAAUCACAUAUUAUAUUGUUCAUAUAAAUGAUAUUAGUUUAGCAUAUAUUAUAAAAAUAUGGAUAAAUUGAAUUCUUUUCCAAAUAAAUAAUUAUAAUAAUUUAAAAUUAAUUAUGAUUAAUAAUAUUUUAUUUAAAAUAAAUUUUAAAACAAAAAAUUAUUUAAUUUUUUUCAUAUAUAAAUAAACCAAUUUCUUUAGUUACAUAUACACCUUUAAUACUUAAUUAUAAAGAGAGUAUUCAGAACUAUUUUUUAUUUAAUAUGCAAUUAUUCAUAUCAAUUUUUAAUUAAAUUAUUUUUAAGAAUUAAAAGAUUCAUUAAAUAAUUUAAAGCAUUGAAUCUCAAUUGAUUUAGAAUCUAUUUAUUUAGUGAGAAAAUUUUAAAAAAUAUAAUUGUUUAUAUACAAUAAAUAAUAAAGUCAUAACUCAUUAUGGAUUAGUUUUGAUAUAUUAUAUUUGAUAGUGAUUGGAUAUAUAUCUGAGUUCCAAAUUAUUUUUCAAAAUUAUUCAACUCCUUAAUAAUUUCAAUACAUUAAAUCUCACUUAAUUUAAACUCGUUAAUGAAUCAAACACAUUAAAACUUUUUUAUUUGGAGUUUUUUUGCCUUAGUUAAAAAAGAAAUUUACAAAAAUAUCGUUAUACAUAAAAGAAAAAACUAACAAAAUCAUUGGGAAUAAAUUUCUAAUAUUAAUUAGGCUCACCUUUAAAAUCCAUAACUUUCUAGUACUAACUGAAUUAGUUUUUUAGUUUAAUAAAUGUUAUGUAUCAAAUAUCACUAGAUUUGAAAUUUAUUUGCUUAAUCAAAAUAAUUUAAAGAUCCAAGUUAAAAGAAGUUUACAACUACGUAUGUUUAAGAAAACAAAUCAUCUUUGAAAAUUUUUUAUAUUUGAUGAUGGAGAGAGAAUAAAUAUAAAAUAAAGUGUCAUAAUUUAUUUGUUUUUGUGAUUUCUUUUCAUGUUAUUUUUCAUUUCUCAUAUUUUUCUUUAAAACAAACAGGUAAAAAUAACUUUUACUUAAUCUCUCAAAUUGUUCUUUAUUUCACUUUAUUUUUAAAAAUUACUUUUAAAGAACAACUACCAAACCACUCAUAAAUUUUUAACAACAAAAAAUUGUUUUUAAAUCAUUUCAUCAACCGAGCCAUUGUAUGUUCCCUUUUUUUUUCUUGUACUUCACCUUCUUAAUUUUAUUAUGGUUAUAUUUAAAUGGAAUCAAAAUAUGCAAUAAAUAAAAUAUAAGAGCAUUAAAUAAAGUAAAAUGAUCAAAGGAUGAAAAUAAAAAUAAGAAAAAGGAAAACCAAAAAUAAAAAUAAAAUAAUAAUGGUAAUAAUAAAAAAAAAUGUAUAUUCACAAAAACAAAAUUAGAAGUCUACAAUUCUCCUCCGGUCAACCCAUGAAAAAUCACACAAUGCAAGGAUCAAGGAUCUAUUGCUUGUCAAUGUUAACUAAUUGUUAAUAAACAAAAAUUAGUAACCAUCAAACCUUAGGAGGACUCAUAAAUUUAACUUAUACCUUUAUAUACAUCAUCAAUUCACCUAAUAAAUUAACAAUUUUAAAUCAAUUCACUUAAUAAAUUAACAAUUUUAAAUAAACUGAUAUUUUUAGUAUGAGAUUCAAAUAUAGAAAAAUAUUUCAACUUCAAUUGGAAUAUUUUUUAAAAAAAAGAAAAAAAAACUGCUCCAUAUAAUUGUACAUAACUCGUGUAUCUAAUGUUUACCUCUUCAACAAGGUGUGUUGAGUUUUAUACAGAGGAUUACAUAUAUUGCACCAGCUUCUUUAAUGUCCAAGAAACUCACUACCCAUUUCCCACCUUAUCUCUCUCAUGUGGAAACAAAACCUUUCGACAUCGGAGACAUUUGUUUAUUUAAGUUGACUCCCUUGUGUUACAAGUCUUUCAAAAAGAACUAGCCUACCUGUGUUCCUCUUAGAAAAAUGGUGGAAGCAGUCCACUGCCUCUCAUAGACAAAAAGAAAAAGAAAAAGAAACUGAUGGUAUUGGGUGGUCAAUAUGUGGUGGUCACGGUAAGUUGGCUUUCAGAGGAAAAUACAUAUAUAGAGAGAGGAAAGGAGAAAAGACGUCAAGGGGGGAAUGUUCUUAGAAAGAGAAGAUGAAGGUGGUGAGUAUGAAUUGGGUUGGAAAUUAAAAAUAAAAAUGAGUAUUUAAAGUGAAAAGGAAGGACAAAAUGAUCAGGGAAAGACUUAGUUUUACUUGUUAGUUCCCAGAUUUCCUUGCAAUUGUGAGUUUGUUACUAAGGUCGCCUCCACUCAGUCCUUUGCUGUUCGCGACCGGCUUCAUCUUGGCAGUAUGAAAUGGCUAUUGGGUUUCGUCGGGGGCAUGGUCGCCUACAGCCUCCUGUAAGAACAAUGAAAUUUUAACAAGUCUGCAAUAUCAUCUCCCCUUUUAUUAAAUAUUUAUGCGUUAAUAAUCAUUUUGGUAGUUGUUUAGUUUUAUUCAUCAUCCUCCAGCAUUAUAUUGACAUUUUGCCUGAGUUUUUUCUUCUUUGUUUUUUCCCUUGGUUUAGUUUAUAUGUUCUUGUUCGCAUUGAAAAGAAAAAUCCACACGUCUAGAUAAUUAUUAAGAUAUGUUUUAAUUAAGAUUUGUGUGAAUGCCUUUCUGUUCCUUUCCCCGCAGGAAAAUGCUGGCUGCAUACUCUACAAGGAAGCAAAGGGACGAGGCGUGGAGGAUGAUGGCAGAGGGUAGAAAUGAAGAAGCUAGGGAGAUGCGGCAUAGAAACUCUACGAUGAAGAUGAACGACACACCAGACUGGGACACUAUAGAUCGGGCGGAGGUAGAUGACUCACGAGAUUUGGUGAAGAUAGUCUUGUCGAGGGUCAUAGAGAAACCAAGUGUUGUGAGGAUUCAAGAACCAGCAGUUUUCGCUGGAGUUGAAGAGGAGGUCCAAUGGAUCCAAAGAGAGUUGAUGCACGCUCGGCUAACAUAUAGUUAUGUCCCAGAACAAUUAAUGGAUGUUGCCUAUGAUUUUGAAGAUGUGAUUGAUGACCUUAUACUCAGAUCAGCCGCAAAGCAAAGGAGAAUAGGAAACUGGAAGAGGUGGCUUUUGUUAAUAAGAAUUCACAUGAAGCUGGAAUUGAUCAUGUCUAAGAUCCCCGCUCUUCCUCAUCUCCCAUAUUUUAUGGAAGCACAUAGUGCCUGCCCUUUUAACUACAGUAUUGAAGAAAUAGUCUGGUCAGACAUCUCCUUGAUACAUGGUCAGAGUGUGGCAAACACGGCUGUUUCCCCAGUGGAAGAGAAGGUAUCAGCUCUGCUAACUCAGGAGGCAAUUCAUCCCUAUACCAAGAAGAAGGCCAUGCGGGUACUAGACAAACUCAGGUCUCUGAAUGGUUUUCUCAAAGGCUUAGAAUCAGUAGAAUUAAAUGAUGGUGGAAUGGUUUGGAUGGAGGAGCUGUCCCAUGUUUGCCUGUCUGCUGUGAUAGCCAUUGAGGACUUCAUCAACAGAACAGAACAGCACACAAAAAGAAGUUGGAUGGGACCUUCCAAGGGAUUUCUUUUGGCUUUUGGCAAAUUCAAAUCUCAGGAUAAGCUUGCUGUGGAGAUGGACAAAAUAUAUGCCAAGAUCCAAAACCUCUCUAUCCACCGGCCAACAGCAGUCAACCCACAAGGUCAAAGUAGGAACCCAAAGUCUACCUUGGGUUCUACCGCCCGAAUCCCACGACAGCCAACAACGCAAGAACCUGAUCUCGCCAGCUUUGAUGAUGAUGUUCAUGCAAUGAUAGCACGGUUGCUUACAGAUGAUGAGAGUUUCACAGUGAUUCCAAUUAUGGGUAUGCAAGGCAUUGGAAAGACAACCCUAGCAAAUUUGAUCUUUAACCAUAAAGCUGUUCUGGAUCAUUUCCCCAUUGCUCUUAGGAGGUCAGAUGGCUGUCGACUUCAGCUUCGUAACAAGGAAGAAUUGAUGGAGUCCGAUCUAAGUCAAUUGGGAGAUGUGUGGAGUUAUGAUGACGAGAUGCAACGGCUGAAAGCUUUCUUGAUUAAUAACAGGUCUCUCACAGUUCUAGAUGAUUCGCAUCUCUUGUACGACAUGCUAGAAGUGCUUCCAGAUACAUUAAAUGGCAGUAGAAUGAUUUUGACUACUUGCGAAACAAUCCUACCUCCAAAUCUCAAAAUGAAGAGUGAUCCUCACCAACUGCGGUUACGGACAGAUGAGGAGAGUUGGGCAUUGUUUACCCAUGCCUUGAAAUUUAGGAUACCCCCAGAAUUGCUAAAGCUGAAAGACGAAAUUGCAAAAAGAUGUGGGGGGCUGCCACUGCUGAUUGUAAAAUUGGCAGAAGCACUCUCACACAAGGAUGCAACCCUUGAGGAGUGGUCCACUGCACUUCAACAAUUUCAUCAUGACCAACAGCAACUUUGGCCCAGUACCCUCUACAAGAUCCAUAAGGAUUUGUCCUUGUACAUGAGGAGAUGUCUAUUUUAUUUCACUCUAUUUCCUCAAGAUUUUGAUAUUCCGGCAAGAAGAUUGAUAACAUUGUGGGUUGCAGAGGACUUGGUACAGCCAGAGGGCGAGAAUGAAACUCCAGAAGAUGUUGCAGAAAGGUGUUUGAAUUUGUUGAUAGCCCAGGGAAUGGUUCAAGUGACAAAGAAGAAGCUUAAUGGGAAUGUUAAAAUGGUGCGAUUGCCCGAAGCCCUAAGACAAUAUUGGUCAUCCAAAGCUCAACAAGCCACAUUUCUUGGAGUUCAUACUAACACAAGAUCUGACUUGUCCCUAGGCACCAAUAAGAUCCGUCGUCUUGUUGAUCAUCUUGACAAAGAAGAUAUCAGCUUUGACCAUAUUCAUGGUAAUAACAACACAACUUCUAGUACUUCUUUGACACCUUAUUACGGAGAUGUACUUUCUUUUCUGUCCUUUGAUACUCGAAAAGAAAGCAAACCAGGAGAAGAAGUGGGAAACUUUCUUCGUCAAAGCAUAUCUAGCGGUUGCUUCCUAGUACUGCUCGUGCUUGAUCUCGAAAAUGUAUUCAGACCAAAGUUACCUGAGGCAAUUGGCAAACUAACUCGAUUAAGGUACCUUGGCUUAAGAUCUACAUUCCUCGAGAUACUUCCAUCAUCUUUAAGCAAGUUGCAGAAUGUUCAAACACUGGACAUGAAGCAUACUUGCAUCAACACUCUUCCUAAUUCAAUCUGGAAGCUACAACAAUUGCGACACUUACACUUGAGUGAGAGUUGUCGAAGUAAACUUAUGCUUCGACAUGAUACAAAUUUUCCUACAAUUCUCCAAACAUUGUGUGGGCUUCUUGUAGAUGAGGAGACUCCCGUAAGAGAUGGCCUAGACAGGUUACUCAAUAUUAGGAAAUUGGGAUUGACAAUAUCAUCUAAACAAGAGGCAAUAACAUUGCAACUGCAGGCAGUAGUUGACUGGGUUCUAAAACUGAACCAACUCCGGUCUUUAAGGCUCAAAUCUAUUGAUGAAAGCAAUCAGCCAUGGGAUCUAGAAUUGAAGCCUUUAGUAACCCUUGUGAAUCUUUCUUACAUUUACUUGCUAGGACGGUUAAGGAAUCCAUCCAUUAUGACCCAAUUCCCAUACAACCUCAUUGACCUCACCUUAUCAGGGUCAGGGCUUGUAGAAGAUCCAAUGCAGUCACUGGAUAAGCUUCCCAAUCUUAGAAGUCUUAAAUUGCUUGCCAAAUCUUAUUUAGGGAAGAACAUGCUUUGCUCUUUAGGAGGCUUUCCUCAGCUUCGAGUUCUUAAACUAUGGAAGUUAGAGCAACUGGAGGAAUGGAAUGUAGAGAAAGGAGCACUGCAAGCUCUCCGAGAUUUGGAGAUUAGGUUCUGCAGAAAUCUGAAAAAUCUUCCUGCAGAAUUGCUACAUAGAACUCUCUUGAAAAUUGAAAUUAUAUCUGACCAGUAAGUUCACUACUUCAUCUCUUGAAAUUUGGUUCAUAACCUACUUUAACAUGAGAUGAUUGUUUUGUUUAACAAACAACCUGAUAUGCCAUUGUGUUUUCUUUCUUUCUUUUUUUUUUUUUUUUUGUUUGAUUAGGGUGUGAGAAGGUAAGCGAGAAGGUUCUGGUCUACUUCUUCGUGUUGGGCUUUGCUUUCCAUUUCAAUGUUUUUGCUGUUGGAGCAGAUAUUCAAAUACUCAUGAGGGCCGUUCUCAGUUGCAACAAUUUAUAGAGCUCAUUUUUUUUAAUUGGGUUUCCAUCCCUUCUGCUCAUUAUUCUGUUCUACCAUUGAUGCUAUGUUCUUGUCUUUCAAACCUUAAAUGCAUACUGUAUUGUACUUGUUAGUAGAUUCUAUAACUAGUGUUUGUGAACUGUAGAAUCAGGGCACCAUGAACACAAUGGUGUUGUGGGUGUGAAUGUUAUAGAAUUUUGCUUUGUGAUUGUAUUUGGAUUGAAUAGAGUUUUUUUUUUCUUUCAGUUGAUGUUUGUUGGAUAGAAUUUAACCAGUCUGCUGGAAUGCACAUAGGGAGAAAAUAACUAUUCUCUUCUUGCCCAGAUGGAUGAAGGAGAGUAAGAUUAAUCCUCCACCUUUCUGUAGCUUAUUUUGUAAGUGUAUUAGGUUCAAAGUCUUCAAAUACGUUAUAUUAAUAUAUCAAAGUAAUACUCUGUUGCUCACAAGCUCAGAUCCGAGCCCACCAUGGCUUGCAUGGGCGCUUACAUGCUCUGCCCAUUCCAAUAGUUAGUCCAUUUAGUCCAAAUACAAUCUCAAAGCUUACACCCUUUCCUUUUUUUCAAUUUAGAAGAGCCUACCACUACAGAUUUGGAUAUUGGAUCGUACAAUAUAAUUAUGGAGCAAUAGUUACAACACCCAUUUGAAAUGGGAUUCAUCCACCUCCAAACCAAAGUUGCUGGUUAUUGAAGGAGAAGAACAGAGAGUUUCUCUAACAACCUCCAUCCAAUGCUUCCUGACAUAAGAUAUCUAUCUCUGUGCUGCUUCCUUAAUUUCAACCUGUUACAGUCCAUCUGCUUUUUCUUUUUCUUCUUUUGGUGUGGUCAGUGUGGGUUCUGGAAAUGAACAGCAGAGCUUUCACCUAAUUAAUACAUUUAGCUUGUGGUUUGGGUAUUUGAAACAGGGCAAUUUACAGAAUCCAAACCCAGUUGAAUGUAAAGCCAGGAAGUUGCUGCCAGACAAUAUGUUGUAUCUUCUGGUCAUGUGCCCUUUCAUGCUUCCUGCUGGUACAGGACAGAUCUGAUUUCAGGACAGAUUCGCCAAGGCCAUACAGUUUUUUAAGCACAACAAGGGCAUAGAAGGAAGAAGGCUUGCCAAAGGUUACGUACCCAUCAGUACUGAAGUUCUAACUCUGCAAGUGAAAGGAGACAAAAGCAAGCAUGUGCUAUUCGAUGCCUGUAGGCUUGCUAAGUCCCUACAACUCCUGGGGACAUAUGAGAAAUGGAGUCCAGAACAGAAAGGGCAUAUGAUAUGUGAUGUGUGGGUGGAGAUGCUGUGUUAUGCUGCAAGUCAGUGUCGAUGGAAUCUCCAUGCCAACUUGCCAAGCAGUUGAGACGAGGGGGAGAGCUGCUCACCCAUGUAUGGCUUCUGAUGGCUCCUUUUGUUAUAAGUGAACAUUUCAAGAUUUUACAAGCCCAUGACAACUUAUGAGAAUUUUUUCAAAUAUUAUUUUAAAAAAGGUUUUUUUUUAAUAAAAAAAAAUCAAAAAAAGAAAACAUAAAAAUAUACAUUUUAUUAGUCAUUUUGUUUUUACAUUGAACUUAUACUUUGAAAAGACAAGUUAAUUUUUUACAUUGAAUCUGGUCUUUUCAAAUAACAGUUCCAUAUGAAAUCCUAAAUUAAUUACUCUGACUAAAAUUGUACUAUCAAGUUUUACAAUGAAUACCUUUAUAAAUAUGCAUUAUCGAUCAACUUAAUAAAUUAACAAUUUUAAAUAAAUUGAUAUUUUUAAUAUGAUAUUGAAACUUAGUGAUGGUAUAUCCCUCUAAUUUUAUUAAAUUUACGUAUAAUCUCAAAUGAAGUAUCAGUAAAGCAUAGUAUUAGGGUUUUAAUAUAGGUUAAGAACAGACUGAGUGAUGGUGUAUCUAUUCCCUUGUUUUUAGCCAACCUUACUUUUUAUUACGCUUUAAUAUCUUAGCAUUGUAGUGUAGCAAAUACUAAUGAAAUUCAAAUACAGAAAAAUAUUUCAAAUUCAAUUGGAAUAUUUAAAAAAGACAGUAUUUUGUCAAAAUUCCAGCUUUCUAGGCCUAUCCCCUUGUCCAUUGGCCUUAUCCUUCAAUUAUUAUUAUUAUUUUUUCACAUGGAUUUACAACUAGUGCUACAAAGCUUUCCAAAGGCAUCAAAUGUACAAUCUUAUCUUCUAUUGUCAAGCUGAUUAGAAACACAUCAGCUGAAGUAUAGCUGCUUAAUUAUGGUCUGAACUGAUUUUCUUGAAGAUAUGUACAAGUUGGGUUCUACAUUCCCCAAAGAUCUCUGUUUUGCAUGAGCUUAAAAAUUGAACACUCUUGUUCUUUUAAAAAUGAUUUAUUUAGUUUUGAAAUUUAUAUCCUCCUUUAUUUCCUUCAAAAAUGUUGUUUCUCUCCCAUUCCUAAUCCAUUUCUCUCUCUCUCUCUCUCUCUCUCUCUCUCUAUUCAUGUUCUCUCUCCCUUCUCAAUCCAACCCCUACAACAAAAAUGUCAAAUUCCUUAUUUUUAUAUCUUCUUCAAGAGAUAAAAAUUUUGAUAAUGAAAUUUCAUGGAUAAAAACUCUCAUCCCUCACAUAUUUCACAAAUAAUUUGGUUGUUGGAAAUAUUUAAUUUUUAUGCUAAAUUUCUUCCUUUUUUUGCAUCUUCUACUUUUUCUAUUUAUAAAAUUCUUGUAUUACAUAAUUUACUAUUUGAGUUUCAAAUUAUUUUUAAAACCUAUUAAACUCGUUAAUGAAUCAAACACAUUAAAACUUUUUUAUUUGGAGUUUUUUUGCCUUAGUAAAAAGAAAUUUACAAAAAUAUCUUUAUACAUAAGGAAAAAACUAACAAAAUACCUUUAAAAUCCAUAACUUUCUAAUACUAACUCAAUCAGUUUUUUAGUUUAAUAAAUGUUAUGUAUCAAAUAUCACUAGAUUUGAAAUUUAUUUGUUUAAUCAAAAUAAUUUAAAGAUUCAAGUUAGAAGAAGUUCACAAAUCACGUAUAUUUAAGAAAAUAAAUCAUCAUUGAAAAUUUUUUAUAUUCAUUGAUGGAGAGAGAAUAAAUAUAAAAUAAAAUCGUGUCAUAAUUUAUUUGUUUCUGUGAUUUCUUUUCAUGCUAUUUUUCAUUUCUCAUAUUUUUCUUUAAAAAAAAAAGGUAAAAAUAACUUUUACUUAAUCUCUCAAAUUGUUCUUCAUUUCACUUUAUUUUUAAAAAUUGCUUUUACAGAACAACUUCCAAACUACUCAUAAAUUUUUAACAACAAAAAAUUGUUUUUAAAUCAUAUCAUCAACCAAGCUAUUGUACAUUCCCUUUUUUUUUCUUGUACAUCACCUUCUUAAUUUUAUUAUGGUUAUAUUUAAAUGGAAUCAAAAUAUGCAAUAAAUAAAAUAUAAGAGCAUUAAAUAAAGGAAAAUGAUCAAAGGAUGAAAAUAAAAAUAAGAAAAAAGAAAACCAAAAAUAAAAAUAAAAUAAUAAUGGUAAUAAUAAAAAAAAAUGUAAAUUCACAAAAACAAAAUUAGAAGUCUACAUUCUCCUCCGGUCAACCCAUGAAAAAUCACACAAUGCAAGCAUCAAGGAUCUAUUGCUACAUCAAUAUUAACUAAUUGUUAAUAAAUGAAAAUUGGUAACCAUCAAACCAUGAUAAAAUUAACUUAUACCUUUAUAUACAUCAUCAAUCCACCUAAUAAAUUAACAAUUUUAAAUAAAUUGAUAUUUUUAGUAUGAGAUUCAAAUAUAUAAAAAUAUUUCAACUUCAAUUAGAAUAUUUUUUUAAAAUAAUAACAAAAUUUUAAAAAUUUAAAAAAAAAAAACACCUUCUCCAUAUAAUUGUACAUAGCUCUAGUAUCUAAUGUUUACCUCUUCAACAAGGUGUUUUGAGUUUUAUACAGAGGAUUACAUAUAUUGCACCAGCUUCUUUAAUGUCCAAGAAACUCACUACCCAUUUCCCACCUUCUCUCUCUCAUGUGGAAACAAAGCCUUUCGACAUUGAAGACAUUUGUUUAUUUAAGUUGACUCCCUUGUGUUACAAGUCUUUCAAAAAGAACUAGCCUACCAGUGUUCCUCUUAGAAAAAUGGUGGAAGCAGUCCAUUGUCUCUCACAGACAAAAAGAAAAAGAAAAAGAAACUGAUGGUAUUGGGUGAUCAAUAUGUGGUGGUCACGGUAAGUUGGCUUUCAGAGGAAAAUACAUAUAUAAAGAGAGAGGAAAGGAGAAAAGACGUCAAGGGGGAAUGUUCUUAGAAAGAGAAGAUGAAGGUGGUGAGUAUGAAUUGGGUUGGAAAUUAAAAAGGAGAAUGAGAAUUUAAAUGAUCAGGGAAAGACUUAGAUUUACUUGUCAGUUCCCAGAUUUCCUUGCCAUUGUGAGUUUGUUACUAAGGCCGCCUCCACUCAGUCCUUUGCUGUUCGCGGCCGGCUUCAUCUUGGCAGUAUGAAAUGGCUAUUGAGUUUCGUCGGGGGCAUGGUCUCCUACAGCUUCCUGUAAGAACAAUGAAAAUUUGAUCAAGUCUGCAAUAUCAUCUCCCCUUUUGUGAUAUUUAUGCGUUAAUAAUUAUUUCGGUAGUUGUUUACUUUUAUUCAUCAUCCUCCAGCAUUAUAUUGAUAUUUUGCCUGAGCUUUUUCUUCUCUUUUUUUUUUCCCUUGGUUUAGUUUAUAUGUUCUUGUUCGGAUUGCAAAGAAAAAUCCACACGUCUUGAUAAUUAUUAAGAUAUGUCUUAAUUAAGAUUUGUGUGAAAGCCUUUCUGUUCCUUUCCCCGCAGGAAAAUGCUGGCUGCAUACUCUACAAGGAAGCAAAGGGAGGAGGCGUGGAGGAUGAUGGCAGAGGGUAGAAAUGAAGAAGCUAAGGAGAUGCGGCAUAGAAACACAACGAUGAAGAUGAACGACACACCAGACUGGGACACUAUAGAUCGAGACUGGGACGCUAUAGAUCGGGCGGAGGUAGAUGACUCACGAGAUUUGGUGAAGAUUGUCUUGUCGAGGGUCAUAGAGAAACUCUGUGUUGUGUGGAUUCAAGAACCAGCAGUUUUCGUUGGAGUUGAAGAAGAGGUCCAAUGGAUCCAAAGAGAGUUGAUGCACGCUCGGCUAAAAUAUAGUUAUGUCCCAGAGGAAUUAAUGGAUGUUGCCUAUGAUUUUGAAGAUGUGAUUGAUGACCUUAUACUCAGAUCAGUCGCAAAUCAAAGGAGAAUAGGAAACUGGGAGAGGUGGCUUUUGUUAAUAAGAAUUCACAAGAAGCUGGAAUUGAUCAUGUCUAAGAUCCCUGCUCUUCCUCAUCUCCCAUAUUGUAUCGAAGCAUGUAGUGCCUGCCCCUCUAACUACAGUAUUGAAGAAAUAGUCUGGUCAGACAUUUUCUUGAUACAUGGUCAGAGUGUGGCAAACAAGGUUGUUUCCCCAGUGGAAGAGAAGGUAUCAGCUCUGCUAGCUCAGGAGGCAAUUCAUCCCUAUACCAAGAAGAAGGCCAUGCGGGUACUAGACAAACUCAGGUCUCUGAAUGGUUUUCUCAAAGGCUUAGAAUCAGUAGAAUUAGAUGAUGGUGGAAUGGUUUGGAUGGAGGAGCUGUCCCAUGUUUGCCUGUCUGCUGUGGUAGCCAUUGAGGACUUCAUCAACAGAACACAACAGCUCACGAAAAGAAGUUGGAUGGGACCUUCCAAGGGAUUUCUUUCGGCUUUUGGCAAAUUGAAAUCCAAGGAUAAGCUUCCUGUAGAGAUGGACAAAAUAUAUGCCAAGAUCCAAAACCUCUCUAUCCACCGGCCAACAGCAGUCAACCCUCAAGGUCAAAGUAGGAACCCAAAUUAUACCUUGGGUUCUACCGAGCGAAUCCCACGGCAGCCAACAACGCAAGAACCUGAUCUCGCCAGCUUUGGUGAUGAUGUGCAUGCAAUGAUAGCACGGUUGCUUACAGAUGAUCAGAAUUUCAGAGUGAUUCCAAUUAUGGGUAUGCAAGGCAUUGGAAAGACAACCCUAGCAAAUUUGAUCUUUAACCAUAAAGCUGUCGUGGAUCAUUUCCCCUUUGCUGCUUGGAGGUCAGAUGGCUAUCGAUUUCAGCUACGUAACAAGGGAGAAUUGUUGCAGUCCGGUCGAAGUCAAUGCAGAGUGUGGAGUAAUCAAUACGAGAUGCAACGGUUGAUACCUUUCUUGAUUAAUGACAGGUCUCUGAUAGUUGUCGAUAAUUGGAAUUUCUUGGUCGACGACCUAGAAAUGCUUCCAGAUGCAUUAAAUGGCAGUAGAAUUAUUUUGACCACUUGCGAAACAAGGCUACCUCCAAAUCUCAAAAUGAAGAGUGAUCCUCACCCACUGCGGUUACGGACAAAUGAGGAGAGUUGGGCAUUGUUUACCCAUGCUUUGAAAUUUAGCAUACCCCCAGAAUUGCUAAAGCUGAAAGACGAAAUUGCAAAAAGAUGUG
RNAcentral lists this long non-coding RNA (31262 nucleotides) under Vitis vinifera (wine grape). Its description in RNAcentral is "long non-coding RNA (VVIN_LNC001619)". Lineage: Eukaryota; Viridiplantae; Streptophyta; Magnoliopsida; Vitales; Vitaceae. The record is from RNAcentral.